RNAcentral lists this long non-coding RNA (2241 nucleotides) under Mustela putorius furo (domestic ferret). RNAcentral describes it as "lncRNA (ENSMPUG00000027985.1)". The record is from RNAcentral. Lineage: Eukaryota; Metazoa; Chordata; Mammalia; Carnivora; Mustelidae.
CUGAGAUCAUGACCUGAGCCGAAGGCAGCGGCUUAACCCACUGAGCCACCCAGGCGCCCCAGGUUUUCUUUUUUAAAGUAAACUCUGUAUUCAACGUUGGGCUCUACCUUGUAACCCUGAGAUCAAGAGUUGCAUGUUCUACCGACUGAGCCAGCCAGGCACCCCAGUUUGCUCUCUAUCUAAAGUUAGGGUCCUCCUUUAUGGCAAUGAUUGCUUUACUGGCUUUAAGGAGCCCAGGCCUAAGUCAAGUUUGAAUUAACCCCUUGGUUGUGUCACAGGGGUGCUAUGAGUGCUUUUCCCCAAUAAUCCUGAGAAUCAGGAGUUCUGUCCUGUCCUGUCCGCUGAGCUUAGGUUCCUAACCGCUUCACGCAGCAACAUCUUACUCCCGUGGGCAAGAGUCAAUCAUCCUUGCAACUAUCACCCAGCAGUGCUGGCAGGGGUGGUGGUGAGGGGGGCAUCAGGUCAAUUUAUUUUGUGAGGCAGAUGAAAACACGGCAUGGGCUGGCUGUGUUUUACCCAGACCCACAGGGCCUGUUCUCAGUCACUGUGUUUCCUCCAGGAGUAACAACUGGUCUGAAGGGGGGGGGGAUUUCCCUUUCCUCUUUUUCCCUCUACUUUUCUCUAAGUCCCAGGGCCUGAUUGGUUAAGUGCCCAGAGAGGAGUCAUGGUGACUCACAAUGGUUCUCAAAACUUUGUGACCACAUGCAAUGAAUGGCAGGCUAUGGACACUGACUAACACCACCUGGGUUACUUCUGGUUCAGGGCUGAACACGGUGAGUGGGGGAGUGCCACGGGAAGGGGGGUCAGCUAUUACAGGUCCUAGGGUACCAUUUCCAUACCCGCUCCCUGCGAUGCACCACUCUGUCUUAUGUCAGACCUCUUCGCCGGAUGAUGCAAAAUCUCUCCGUGAACAUUUUCCCUGUGGGGCUCACCACACUGUCCUAACGGUGUUCAAUGCAUUUCAACAGGUCCACUGGGCAAUGGUCAGUGACUCUGGCCUCGAGAUCCAAUCACCCAGUGAGAGCGGCAAGGGAACUCAGUCCCAGGCUUCCUCCAUUGUGCUCUUUGUGAAGCCAUCCGUAGCGCCAACGAGUCAUGGAGAGGGUAUGCUCUGAAGUCCGUCCCAGCAUACCCAUCCCGAGCAUCAAGAGGAAGGCAGACGAAUACUUAAAACCCACCCUGGGCUCCAAAAACGUCCUGAGCUUUUUACUCGGUAGGCAGUUAGGGAGCCACAGAAAUGAUCUGGAUCUGUCCAAGUGGCUGUGGAUGCUGACGCGAGCCGCACCAGAGUGGAGGUGGCCCUUGCCAAAAAAUCACAUAACCUAUGUGCUCAUGCCUCCGUGCAAUUUUGGAAAAUGCAAAAAACCGGUUUAGAAUAACAAUAGCCUUGCUUCAGCUGUUCAAAUAAAAGCUGCAUUUUCACUCCCAUGGUUUGACACGUUUUUAUGACCAAGCAGCUUUCUUGGGUUAGUUACUCUGGGGAUUCCGUGCCUGGUAAUGCGGAAUGCUGGGGCUCUCCCGGCCUGGGAGGUGGUGAGAUCCCAUAGCAGGUCCCAUCUCGUCCACCUUAACCUGAAACAAGAGUCAGGGAAUGGUGAUGCAGAAGUGGGUCCUUCCAGAGCCGAGACUCCCGUCCCUAGGCCUGGGUGUGGCCCCCUGGGAAACCUAGUCGCUACCCUGGUGAAACACAUUGUCUGACAACAGGGUUCAAGCCCUUGGAAAAUUGAGGACACCCAUAUUUUAAAUUCUGAGGCUCAUGAGACUAUCAUUUAGAAACUACAGCAUUACUUCUUUGCUGGCUCUAUUUUAUUUAAAAGAAUUUAGAGCACUGGGCAUUUGAAUAUGGCAAUGUCCCAUUGUAACAGCACACUCCAGCCAGUCUUAGGGGUGAACUUGCCUUAAGCUUAGGGGCUCCUUGCUUACUGACCUAAGCCCCUUGGUGUGUGGUGGAACUAACCUCUUUCCUUGAGAUUUGCAGACCGCUGGCCUUGAGGAGUGAAGGACCAGACUUUCCCAGGAGAUAAGGCCUGUUGGCCUGGGAAAACAGCUCGGGCUGGUGCCAGCAAGUCUGUCCAAGUCUGUCUGCUUCUCCCGUGCACAGCUUCGCCCCCACCCCCUUUUCCUGAGUCUUCUCUUUGAAAAUGGUCAGGCUCCUCCUGGAUGGGGAAGAUGGUCUUUGAGACUUCUGCCCGCUAUCUCCCAGGCUGCUGGCCUCCUGAAUAAAGCAACCUUUCCUUUCCC